GGCUCAGAACGAACGCUGGCGACGCGUCUUAAGCAUGCAAGUCGAACGGCAACACGGGGCAACCUGGUGGCGAGUGGCGAACGGGUGAGUAACACGUAGGUGAACUGCCCUUGGGCUGGGGAUAGCCUGUGGAAACACAGGGUAAUACCGAAUGAGGUCAAUGGAUUGUGAUCUGUUGAUGAAAGGGGCUAAGGCCUCGCCUGAGGAUGUGCCUGCGGCUGAUUAGCUAGUUGGUGAGGUAAUGGCCCACCAAGGCGACGAUCAGUAGCCGGCCUGAGAGGGUGGACGGCCACACUGGGACUGAGAUACGGCCCAGACUCCUACGGGAGGCAGCAGCUAAGAAUCUUCCGCAAUGGACGAAAGUCUGACGGAGCGACGUCGCGUGGGUGAUGAAGGCGGAAACGUUGUAAAGCCCUUUUAUCGAUGAGGAAUAAGCUUGGGAGGGAAUGCCCGAGUGAUGACGGUAGUCGGUGAAUAAGCCCCGGCUAAUUACGUGCCAGCAGCCGCGGUAACACGUAUGGGGCGAGCGUUGUUCGGAAUUAUUGGGCGUAAAGGGUAUGCAGGCGGUUUUCCAAGUCUGGUGUGUAAGACCUCAGCUUAACUGGGGGAGCGCGCUGGAAACUGGGAGACUAGAGUACAGGAAGGGGAGUUGGAAUUCCAGGUGUAGGGGUGAAAUCUGUAGAUAUCUGGAAGAACAUCAGUGGCGAAGGCGAACUCCUGGCCAUGUACUGACGCUGAGAUACGAAAGCGUGGGGAGCAAACAGGAUUAGAUACCCUGGUAGUCCACGCCGUAAACGAUGUGCACUAGGUGUUGGGGUUUUUGAUCUCAGUGCCGUAGCUAACGCGUUAAGUGCACCGCCUGGGGGAGUAUGCUCGCAAGAGUGAAACU
This 889-nucleotide ribosomal RNA is filed under the name uncultured bacterium. RNAcentral describes it as "bacterial SSU rRNA". It matches the Rfam family "Bacterial small subunit ribosomal RNA", at positions 21 to 901 of the family's 1533-position model. The record is from RNAcentral.